GUACAUGAUGACUAAAAUUUCU
RNAcentral lists this microRNA (22 nucleotides) under Bos taurus (domestic cattle). Its description in RNAcentral is "bta-miR-1434-5p". The record is from miRBase by way of RNAcentral. Lineage: Eukaryota; Metazoa; Chordata; Mammalia; Artiodactyla; Bovidae.